This 253-nucleotide ribosomal RNA is filed under the name uncultured bacterium. RNAcentral's name for it is "partial 16S ribosomal RNA". It matches the Rfam family "Bacterial small subunit ribosomal RNA", at positions 524 to 776 of the family's 1533-position model. The record is from RNAcentral.
UACGAAGGGUGCAAGCGUUACUCGGAAUUACUGGGCGUAAAGCGUGCGUAGGUGGUUCGUUAAGUCUGAUGUGAAAGCCCUGGGCUCAACCUGGGAACUGCAUUGGAUACUGGCGAUCUGGAGUGCGGUAGAGGGUGGCGGAAUUCCCGGUGUAGCAGUGAAAUGCGUAGAUAUGUGGAGGAAUACCGAUGGCGAAGGCAGCCCCCUGGGAUAACACUGACGCUCAUGCACGAAAGCGUGGGGAGCAAACAGG